Molecule: ribosomal RNA, 494 nt
Filed under: uncultured bacterium
Lineage: Bacteria
Description: partial 16S ribosomal RNA
Rfam family: Bacterial small subunit ribosomal RNA
Source: RNAcentral
GACGAACGCUGGCGGCGUGCUUAACACAUGCAAGUCGAACGGAAAGGCCUGCUUUCCCUUGUGGAUUGCGGGUGCUCGAGUGGCGAACGGGUGAGUAACACGUGAGUGAUCUGCCCCCAACUUGGGUAUAAGCCUGGGAAACUGGGUCUAAUUCCCGAUAGGACUGCAGGGUGGUGCCUGUGGUGGAAAACGAUUUUCUAGUGGGUGGGGAUGAGCUCGCGGCCUAUCAGCUUGUUGGUGGGGUAAUGGCCUACCAAGGCGGCGACGGGUAGCCGGCCUGGGAGGGUGGACGGCCCCAUUGGGACUGAGAUACGGCCCAGACUCCUACGGGAGGCAGCAGUGGGGAAUAUUGCCCAAUGGGCGGAAGCCUGAUGCAGCGACGCCGCGUGGGGGAUGACGGCCUUCGGGUUGUAAACUCCUUUCGACCGCGAGGAAGCCACCUGGUUGGAAGGGUGGUGACGGUAGUGGUAGAAGAAGCACCGGCUAACUACGUG